This 723-nucleotide ribosomal RNA is filed under the name uncultured bacterium. RNAcentral's name for it is "bacterial SSU rRNA". It matches the Rfam family "Bacterial small subunit ribosomal RNA", at positions 763 to 1489 of the family's 1533-position model. The record is from RNAcentral.
GGGGAGCAAACGGGAUAGAUACCCCGGUAGUCACGCCGUAAACGAUGUCUACUAGCCGUUGGAGGACUUGAUCCUUUAGUGGCGCAGCUAACGCGAUAAGUAGACCGCCUGGGGAGUACGGUCGCAAGAUUAAAACUCAAAUGAAUUGACGGGGGCCCGCACAAGCGGUGGAGCAUGUGGUUUAAUUCGAAGCAACGCGAAGAACCUUACCUACUCUUGACAUCCAGUGAACUUUUGAGAGAUCAAUUGGUGCCUUCGGGAACACUGAGACAGGUGCUGCAUGGCUGUCGUCAGCUCGUGUUGUGAAAUGUUGGGUUAAGUCCCGUAACGAGCGCAACCCUUGUCCUUAGUUACCAUCAUUAAGUUGGGGACUCUAAGGAGACUGCCGGUGACAAACCGGAGGAAGGCGGGGACGACGUCAAGUCAUCAUGGCCCUUACGAGUAGGGCUACACACGUGCUACAAUGGCAUGUACAAAGGGUUGCCAAGCCGCGAGGUGGAGCUAAUCCCAUAAAGCAUGUCGUAGUCCGGAUUGGAGUCUGCAACUCGACUCCAUGAAGUCGGAAUCGCUAGUAAUCGUGAAUCAGAAUGUCACGGUGAAUACGUUCCCGGGCCUUGUACACACCGCCCGUCACACCAUGGGAGUGGGUUGCUCCAGAAGUAGAUAGCUUAACCUUCGGGAGGGCGUUUACCACGGAGUGAUUCAUGACUGGGGUGAAGUCGU